GCCGGGUAGCUAUAAUCGGAAGCGAUAACCGCUGAAAGCAUCUAAGCGGGAAGCGCGCCUCAAGAUGAGACCUCCCGGAGCUUAAGCUCCCUGAAGGGCCCAGGUAGACUACCUGGUUGAUAGGGUGGGUGUGUAUCGCAGUAAUGCCGAGCUAACCACUACUAAUGACCCGUGCGGCUUGAUCAU
Molecule: non-coding RNA, 186 nt
Filed under: Beta vulgaris subsp. vulgaris (sugar beet)
Lineage: Eukaryota; Viridiplantae; Streptophyta; Magnoliopsida; Caryophyllales; Amaranthaceae
Description: Bacterial large subunit ribosomal RNA
Rfam family: Bacterial large subunit ribosomal RNA
Source: Rfam by way of RNAcentral